Molecule: small RNA, 290 nt
Filed under: Loktanella sp. 3ANDIMAR09
Lineage: Bacteria; Pseudomonadati; Pseudomonadota; Alphaproteobacteria; Rhodobacterales; Roseobacteraceae
Description: 5' ureB small RNA
Rfam family: 5' ureB small RNA
Source: Rfam by way of RNAcentral
CAUCGUCGAUCUGUUGCGGGCAGAUGAAAUGGAUGUGGCUGUCAAACCCGCCGGCGGUCAGGAUGCGCCCCUCACCGGCGAUGAUCUCUGUCCCCGGCCCGAUGAUGAUAUCGACGCCGGGCUGGGUGUCGGGAUUGCCUGCCUUGCCGAUCUUGUUGAUGCGGCCGUCGCGCAGGCCCACGUCGGCCUUGUAGAUGCCGGUCCAAUCCACGAUCAGCGCGUUGGUGAUGACCGUAUCGACGGCCCCGGCAGCGCGGGUGGCCUGUGACUGGCCCAUGCCGUCGCGGAUG